UAAUACGUAGGUGACCAGCGUUGUCCGGAUUUACUGGGCGUAAAGAGCGCGCAGGCGGUCGUUCAAGUCGAGUGUGAAAGCCCCCGGCUCAACUGGGGAGGGUCACUCGAUACUGAUCGACUUGAAGGCAGGAGAGGGAAGCGGAAUUCCCGGUGUAGUGGUGAAAUGCGUAGAUAUCGGGAGGAACACCAGUGGCGAAGGCGGCUUCCUGGCCUGUUCUUGACGCUGAGGCGCGAAAGCUAGGGGAGCAAACGGG
Molecule: ribosomal RNA, 256 nt
Filed under: uncultured bacterium
Lineage: Bacteria
Also listed under: 1 other name
Description: partial 16S ribosomal RNA
Rfam family: Bacterial small subunit ribosomal RNA
Source: RNAcentral